ACGUAGGAGAGGAGGUGGUUCGGCUCAUGACGGAAACCCGGACAUACGAGGUGGCUGCGGGCUAGCGGCCCGUUGUCGGACUCGGUUCGGCGCCGGACCCGCAUGUGUGUUGUGCAUGCAGCCGGCCCAAUCCAACGCAGUCACCCGACCCGCGAACUCGCCGGUACGUCCGGCCCGGCUCCCCCGCCGUCAGGCGCAGGGAACCCGAGUUCGCGGGUCGUUCGCG
Molecule: small RNA, 226 nt
Filed under: Streptomyces sp. M41(2017)
Lineage: Bacteria; Bacillati; Actinomycetota; Actinomycetes; Kitasatosporales; Streptomycetaceae
Description: Actinobacteria sRNA Ms_IGR-5
Rfam family: Actinobacteria sRNA Ms_IGR-5
Source: Rfam by way of RNAcentral